GGUCUGAUGCGCCUGGCCUGCCAGCUCUUAGCUGGUGUGUGCCGGGUCGCGUCUGCCAUCCUUGUUAGGUACUCUACUACCCUUCACUGGGCUGGUAGCAGUUAUCUAACAUCUUUUACUUUGAGAAAAUUAGAGUGUUUAAAGCAGGCUGUCUUAUGCUCUGAAUACAUUAGCAUGGAAUAAUAAUUUAGGACUUCGGUUCUAUUUUGUUGGUUCUUAGGACUGAAGUA
Molecule: ribosomal RNA, 230 nt
Filed under: uncultured fungus
Lineage: Eukaryota; Fungi
Description: partial small subunit ribosomal RNA
Rfam family: Eukaryotic small subunit ribosomal RNA (bases 111-230)
Source: RNAcentral